RNAcentral lists this ribosomal RNA (229 nucleotides) under uncultured Methanosarcina sp. RNAcentral describes it as "partial 16S ribosomal RNA". It matches the Rfam family "Archaeal small subunit ribosomal RNA", at positions 219 to 448 of the family's 1478-position model. Lineage: Archaea; Methanobacteriati; Methanobacteriota; Methanomicrobia; Methanosarcinales; Methanosarcinaceae. The record is from RNAcentral.
CGCCUAUCAGGUAGUAGUGGGUGCAAUGUACCUACUAGCCUACAACGGGUACGGGUUGUGAGAGCAAGAGCCCGGAGAUGGAUUCUGAGACAUGAAUCCAGGCCCUACGGGGCGCAGCAGGCGCGAAAACUUUACAAUGCGGGAAACCGUGAUAAGGGGACACCGAGUGCUAGCAUCAUAUGCUGGCUGUCCAGGUGUGUAAAAUACACCUGUUAGCAAGGGCCGGGCA